RNAcentral lists this ribosomal RNA (430 nucleotides) under uncultured bacterium. RNAcentral describes it as "bacterial SSU rRNA". It matches the Rfam family "Bacterial small subunit ribosomal RNA", at positions 355 to 775 of the family's 1533-position model. The record is from RNAcentral.
UGCGGAAUUUUAGAUAAUGGAGGGAACUCUGAUCUAGCGACGCCGCGUGCAGGAAGAAGGUCUUCGGAUUGUAAACUGCUGUGGUAAGGGAAAAAUGCUAUGUAGAGUGGAAAGCUACAUAGAGGGAUGGUACCUUACUAGAAAGCCCCGGCUAACUACGUGCCAGCAGCCGCGGUAAUACGUAGGGGGCGAGCGUUACCCGGAAUCACUGGGCGUAAAGGGAGCGUAGGUGGCCUAACAUGUCAACUGUGAAAACCCGGAGCUCAACUCCGGACUUGCAGUUGAAACUGGUAGGCUUGAGGACGGUAGAGGAAGACGGAACUGCCAGUGUAGGGGUAAAAUCCUUAGAUAUUGGCAGGAACGCCGGUGACGAAGGUGGUUUUCUGGGCCGGUUCUGACACUGAUGCUCGAAAGCCAGGGGAGCGAACGG